CUGGGCGUAAAGGGUGCGUAGGCGGUCUUUCAAGUCAGGAGUGAAAGGCUACGGCUCAACCGUAGUAAGCUCUUGAAACUGGGAGACUUGAGUGCAGGAGAGGAGAGUGGAAUUCCUAGUGUAGCGGUGAAAUGCGUAGAUAUUAGGAGGAACACCAGUGGCGAAGGCGGCUCUCUGGACUGUAACUGACGCUGAGGCACGAAAGCG
Molecule: ribosomal RNA, 207 nt
Filed under: Clostridioides difficile
Lineage: Bacteria; Bacillati; Bacillota; Clostridia; Peptostreptococcales; Peptostreptococcaceae
Description: partial 16S ribosomal RNA
Rfam family: Bacterial small subunit ribosomal RNA
Source: RNAcentral